RNAcentral lists this long non-coding RNA (904 nucleotides) under Salmo salar (Atlantic salmon). RNAcentral describes it as "lncRNA (ENSSSAG00000098963.1)". Lineage: Eukaryota; Metazoa; Chordata; Actinopteri; Salmoniformes; Salmonidae. The record is from RNAcentral.
GUGGUAGGGGUGUAUGAUUGUAGGGAUGGUAGGGUUGUAUGUUGGGAGGGAUGGUAGGGAGGUAUGCUAGUUGGGCCGAUAUGACUGGUAGGGAUUUAAGGAUGUAUCCAGGUAGGGCUGGUUGAGAUAUAUCCUGGAAGAGUUGGUAGGGAUGAUAGGGAUGGUUGGGAGGUAUGCUAGUUGUAAGGAUGUAUCCAGGUAGGGCUGGUUGAGAUAUAUCCUGGAAGGGUUGGUAGGGAUGAUAGGGAUGGUUGGGAGGUAUGCUAGUUGUAAGGAUGUAUCCAGGUAGGGCUGGUUGAGAUAUAUCCUGGAAGGGUUGGUAGGGGUGAUAGGGAUGGUUGGGAGGUAUGCUAGUUGUAAGGAUGUAUCCAGGUAGGGCUGGUUGAGAUAUAUCCUGGAAGGGUUGGUAGUGAUCCUGGAAGGGUUGGUAGGGAUCACAGUUCUCUCUAAGUUUUUCUAGUUUAAACAGGACUAAGCUUAUAAAAUCAACACAAGACAACAUUGGCUAAUCAGAUUCCUAGGCUGACGUAGACCUGUAUGAGUUAUGUUGGAGCGUUACCAAUUCUAUGAUGUUAUCAAACAGUCCUCUCUCUCUCAUUCGAUCCAGACAUACGGUUGGACAGGGUGCACCAGACAGGCUUCUCUCUCUGGCAUCACCAAGUGUAUGUCCAAAAUGGCACCCUGUUCCCUUACUUCCCGAUUAUUGCAUAAUACUACAAGGCUCUGGUCAAAAGUAGUGCACUAAAUAAGGAAUAGGGUACCUGUUGGGACGCAUCACCAAAUCUUUCUUCCUUUGAUUGUCUGAGCUGAUCUUCCAUCAAUCGUGUCUCUCCUUGUCUUCCCUCCCUCUCUCUGUCUCAGACAUUAAACUGUGUGAAGAGGAUUUAACAAAACAUCUUUCUCC